UUCAUGAGCAGAAGUUUCUGCUCGUUCACAAGGAAGUAUAACAUUCCAAUACCUGGAUCUAUAUAAUAUUCCAGUAUAUGGACCUAUGAAGGAAUGUUUGUUUACCCUUUAAUGUUUUUUUUCAAAUAUUCAGACAUCAAAUUAGCAUUUGAGGAGAGCUUGUUGGUAUGAAAAUUCUUUUCAAGUGUUCACAAAGAGCUGAGCAAAACUUGACUUUGUCUGUAGCUAAUCUCCACUGAUAUCACAGAAUCACUUCUCCUAUUCUGAACAGCAGGGAAGAACUUGACUCAGAGCUCCAAGUCAGUUGGUGCAUCUUAAAGAAAGGAGAAAGGCCUGCCAUCUGCUCUGUACCACUGCUGCCAAAACUCCACAGAAUACAAACAGAAGUCAGAGCUUAGCUGCCAGCAGCUUCCAUCCACCUAGGAGGUGCCAGGUACUGUAAGUGAAAAGAUACAAAAACU
Molecule: long non-coding RNA, 461 nt
Filed under: Cyanistes caeruleus (blue tit)
Lineage: Eukaryota; Metazoa; Chordata; Aves; Passeriformes; Paridae
Description: lncRNA (ENSCCEG00000009765.1)
Source: RNAcentral